GGCAAUGAUGAUGAAUGCUUUUAUAUUUCUGACACCUCUUGUAUGAGAACAUUAAACUGUUCCUUGAGCACAUUAAGCACCUCUCUGAGCC
This is a small nucleolar RNA of Erigeron canadensis, 91 nucleotides long. RefSeq annotates it as small nucleolar RNA snoR1. The transcript has a single exon. NCBI's taxonomy places the organism in Eukaryota, Viridiplantae, Streptophyta, Magnoliopsida, Asterales, Asteraceae. The record is from RefSeq and is a predicted model, not a curated record.